This 639-nucleotide ribosomal RNA is filed under the name uncultured Actinomycetes bacterium. Its description in RNAcentral is "bacterial SSU rRNA". It matches the Rfam family "Bacterial small subunit ribosomal RNA", at positions 232 to 885 of the family's 1533-position model. The record is from RNAcentral. Lineage: Bacteria; Bacillati; Actinomycetota; Actinomycetes.
CGCGGCCUAUCAGCUUGUUGGUGAGGUAACGGCUCACCAAGGCAACGACGGGUAGCUGUUCUAAGAGGAAGAUCAGCCACACUGGGACUGAGACACGGCCCAGACUCCUACGGGAGGCAGCAGUGGGGAAUCUUGCGCAAUGGGCGAAAGCCUGACGCAGCAACGCCGCGUGCGGGAAGACGGCCUUAGGGUUGUAAACCGCUUUCAGCAGGGACGAAAUUGACGGUACCUGCAGAAGAAGCUCCGGCCAACUACGUGCCAGCAGCCGCGGUAAGACGUAGGGGGCGAGCGUUGUCCGGAUUUAUUGGGCGUAAAGGGCUCCUAGGUUGUUCAGUAAGUCGACUGUGAAAAUCCAAGGCUCAACCUUGGGACGCCAGUCGAUACUGCUGUGACUCGAGUACGGUAGAGGAGUGUGGAAUUCCUGGUGUAGCGGUGAAAUGCGCAGAUAUCAGGAGGAACACCAACGGCGAAGGCAGCACUCUGGGCCGAUACUGACACUGAAGAGCGAAAGCAUGGGGAUCAAACAGGAUUAGAUACCCUGGUAGUCCAUGCCGUAAACGUUGGGCACUAGGUGUGGGGUUCUAUCAACGGACUCCGUGCCGCAGCUAACGCAUUAAGUGCCCCGCCUGGGGAGUACGG